AUUAUAAAUUUCUGUUUCAAUAUUAUUGUGUUUUUUAAAAAGUUUUUAUUUUAAUUCCAAAUAGUUAAUGUACAGUGUUAUAUUAGUUUCAGGUGGUUUAUAUGGUAGACACAAACAGUAAAUAAAUGAAAAAUUAAAAAUGAAUAUAUAAUAAGCAAUGUGGCAAUUAAUAUUAUUUUGCAUAAUUAGUUUAAAAAUAAAUUUAAAAUACCUAUUUUACAAGGUACAUGCAUUUUAGGGAUAAAUCAAACACCUAGUGUUUUGUGGAAUCAGCAAUUAUGGGAAAAAUAGAAGGCUUUGUAAAGACUGAGGAAAAUAAUGUAUAGAAGAAUAUAACAUAAAAUACAGGGGAGUGUGAUUAAAGCCUACGCUUUAAAGAAAACAAAUAAAAUACAUAAAAAUCAUAGAGAGUAAUAUAGAGCACAUGCCAAUGAAAGAGCUCUGAUUAAAAGUAUGUAGUUUUAAUAGAGGAGACUAUCACAGAUGUAAAAAUAAAGUAAAAUUGACUUCUGACUCCAUAAAAACAAUACACAAUGGAUUGGAGGAAAAAAUUAAGGCACUUAAAAGAAAUGGGUUAAAGUUUAGUUAGAUCAGACAUUUUACAAAAUAAAAAUCUAAAAUCUAGCUAAAGAAAAGUCAGGCAUAAAAUAGUUGGUCAGUAGUGGAGAAUGAAAGGAAGUCCCUAGGAUCAGUGAGAAGCGAUAUUCAUCCCAACAGAUUUCAAGUCUUGUCCCAUUGGAAAAGUUAUCCUUAAUGUAGAGAGAGAGAUGAGUCUGGAAUUCCUAUUAGCCUGAUACCACUAAGUAUACUAUUCAUAUAAAUAACUCCCUUGAGUUCCCCUUCUGAUGAGAAUGAGAAGCUGGGCAUCUAGGUCACUUGUAUAGAAAGAAAGAAUGGAUUGAGCAGAGGAGUCAAGUGGCUGCUCUCUCUAUUGGCCAUUUUGCUUCUCAUUGUAAAGCAUAGAAGCUCUGCUUCAUAAUGGUAUGUGAGUGGGUUUGAAUCAAACCCUGUGAAUGAGAUCCAGCCUCUUCUUGUUUUAACCAAUCAAUUUUGAGUCAGUGGGUCAAAGAACAGAAUGUGGACCUUGAUAAAACCACAGCACACCACACCA
This 1111-nucleotide long non-coding RNA is filed under the name Canis lupus familiaris (dog). Its description in RNAcentral is "lncRNA (ENSCAFG00030017435.1)". The record is from RNAcentral. Lineage: Eukaryota; Metazoa; Chordata; Mammalia; Carnivora; Canidae.